UUACAGACCCAUAUUUUUUAAGUAUAUACAUUUUUCUUAAUCACACCUUAAAUAAAAGGUUUGAGUCAUUUGUGACGUGGUUAACUGUCAACAUUACAAGAGAGAUAAAAACAUUAUUGAAAAAUGAAGGUAGGAUAUUAGCAAAAUACCUGGUUAAAAUUUGUACAUUAAGUGAACCAAGUGAUCUCUCACUGAUCUCUAAUCUGCACCUGUUCAGUUUGUCUGUUUCAUUAGAGCAGAUGUGGGACCAGUUUGUCUCUCUAUCAACAGGGGUUUUACUGUUAAUGAGUUAUAAAAAAAAUAAUUAAAAAAAACUCUUCACACUAAACACUGACUGGCCACAUCACAUGUUGGCCAAGGUGGUUAGUCAGAGAAAAUUUAUCUGCAAAGAUGAUAAUGCACAGAGGGGUCAUUUACUUGCUAAUGAUAGCUCUGUUCCCACAAACAAGCAGAUGGUAACUGAUCUCAGAGCAGUGAAAGCAGAGCCAGUCACAGCUUGUUUUGCACAGUGACCUCCCAUCAAUCUCCACAAUGCGCAAAGAACCAGAAAGGUUGCUGGCUUCUCAUCUUGACAAGCUGAAGUCAUCGUUAACAGGACACGGACAAGCCCAAUAAGAUACUGGCCACAUACAGAAUCCUAGUUAAGCAGAGUUAAGUCUGCUUCCAGAGAAAGAAGCCAAUUUUGGCCACAAGAUGGCAGUAAUCUAAACGCUGGAUGCAAAUAGAUGAGAAACUUUAUGAAAGAGUGCUGCCUGAGAUUUUAAAAAGUAUGUUUAAUUAAUAUGUGUUUUAAGGUUUCACUGGACAAGCACUACUUUCCUGACCGAAUGCCACUAGAGCACUGGAGUAAUGUAAUGCAUUACUAUACUAAAUUCAUUAGAGUUAGAGUUACCAAUCAAACAAUCAUGCCUUUACCUGCGUAACAUAAGUUAUUCAGUUAUCUACAGAACUGGCUAAUAAGGAAAAAAAUCAAACAUCAAACAUUUCCUUCUGCUGCACACUAGAAUCCCAUACUGGCUUUUCUUCAUUGGCAUCCUGUCAAAUCCCGAAUUAAAUUUAAGGUCGGUACAUCCAGCCACAAUCAGUUUCUGACUCCAGCUUGUCAGCCUGGUGAACCACUUGUCACAUAACGCAAACAGGCUCUCCUCCACACCAUCCUUAUUUAUAAAGUGCUUUACAAAACCAAACAUUACAACAGGUGAACUUUGCAGUUUCACUCCCACUAGCCAAACAACGGGGAGCCACUCACUGCUAAAGAAACAGAAUGUGAAAGUGGACAGUAUACCCUAAGUUUGUUAACAUAAAACUCAUUGUUACAGACAGGAAUAGCACAAAAGUAACAGAUUUUUAGGUUUAUUGUCCUUAUUUUUUCCCUAAGUUAUUGGUUCUGUUACUAGUUAGCUAACAUAAACUAAUGUAAGUCUAUUGACAGCAACCAACCAACUCUGAUGUAACGUUCCGUACUGACAGAAAACUUAUGUUUUAAAUCCAGCUACACAGACAGUGUUACAUCCAUGUCAUGUUUUUGAGAGCAGGGCUUCAUGGUGUAUUUGGGGGUUUUUUUGGUUUUGUGUUUGAACCUAAAGAACUAAAAUAAAUAUCUUGUGUCUGUCUUUAUUAGGACAGGUGUUGGUGUGUUUGUAAGUAGGCUAAGUGUUAGCUCUUUCAUUACAAUAGAUGCAACUGUGUGCAUCUGUGUGCAUGUGUGUUUCAUUAGCUGCCAACUCUUCCAACACAAUCUAGAAUUAACCAACCAAACUUGGCACACAUUUUAGCCCACUGAAGGUUCUUAUCUAAAUCAGAUAGUAUGAUAUGAUCAUGUUCCCUUGCAACUACCUAGAAAUGGACUAAAAUUACUUCUUUUUUGCCCUCAUACAACAACUUGUGAAAGCAUACUAUCAAUUUCAUUUCACAAUAACAACAUCUCAUUUAUACCUUCAAAAGCUGAAUUAUACAUAGUAUAAUAUAAUGUCAUGUUGCCUAGCAACCACCUAGCAAUGGGUUAAAAUGACCCAUUUUUUGCAUUUAUGCACCUACAACACCUUAUAAACGCAUCGUAUCAUUUUCAUUUCAUAGCCAACAGUAUGAAAAGACCAAACAAUACGAGCAUGUACUACAUUGAAUCUCAGGCCAUGAGAAAUGCAAAGUAAUGUCAUGGUUAGAGCAAUGAAUGACUUUCUACAGAGAGUAAAUAAAUUAUUAAAGGGAAUGAUCAGUGUGUAAUAUAUUAUCAUUCUACUUUUUUUUUUUUUCCAGAAACUGAAUAUUUUUAGUAAUUUAAAAAAGGAUCCAAUCCAUUGUUGAUAAGAAUAGCCAUUGUGUUGUUGCAUCUUUUAUUGCUUACAGAAGCAAUCAAGCUUAUUGGAUAUCUCAAAUUAUGAGUGAUGAGCAACAACCUUCUCAUGACCUCUUCAGGACACCCUUACUUGGAAAAGGGAUAGUUUAUAGCAGUGCUACUGUGUAAAUAAAUGACAGAUUGUCAGGUCAGCAGGCAACAAUUGGUCCUGGUAACAAGCAGCCCAACAAGCUAAAGGAGAGGGGAUGACAAUCACGAAGGCCAAUCAGCUGAAGAAUCCACCAGUAUAAAAAAAGAGAAAGUUUAAAUGCUGACAGACACAAACAAAAAUAGCACAGAAAAUCAUGCACAUGGACAUUCACAGUUCAGACUGAAGGUUAGAAGAGAAGCAUUGUUGACCGAUCACGUCUCUAUUUUUAUUCCCACCGCCCCCGAGAAACGCACACCCGCACAUGACUUCUUUUUGCCAACUAAUCUGUUCAAAGUUUCUACAGCAUCAUGCUGCGUUUUAUUACAGGGCUUUACUCCAAAAUAGCCCCAUUAUCAGCAGCAGCUCAAAUAGCAUCAUGUUACCUAACAAAUUGUUGCUGUGUGAAUACAUAUCAGAUAUCACCUGGAAAUCUGUCAGACCUCUUUAAUGUGACCCUAUCUAAAUACACACAUGCAAACUCACAAGAAUUCCACUUGAUCUUUCCAGUCUCUUCCAGCCGUUCUACUUGAAGCCGGUUUGGACUAAACCCAGCAGCUGGAAGACUGUGCUCAGCCCCAGCACACCAGCCAGCCAGACUGACUGAGUUUUAUUCUGCUGCUCAGAAAGGCAUCAGGAUCUGAAACCUCACACAGUGUAUAAACCGAGGGACUGGAAUGACCACACACACCUUUAUAAAUGUAAAUGUGAUCCAGGAUAUACAGUAGAUGAUUUGUGUGUUCAGCAAAAGGAGCAAGUGGGAGAAAAUUAGAGGUUAAGUGUGUGAAUGUGAGUUCAAAGUCAAGAAGGAGAGAUAUAAAGUUAAAGGGAAAGAAUGAGAUCAUGACUCUGUGUAUGUGUGUGUGUGUGUGUGUAAGAGAGAAGCAGAGUGAGCGGUAUUGGCCACGGUCUGACUUUGACCUACACAGACUGCCAGUGAGAAAGCAGCUGACAGUCUGUCCAGUUGGCAUGCGCGCAGUGCUUCGGCAACGUGCAGCCUGCCUCGUACACAGAAACUGUUACCGAGCGCGUCUGUUACUGAGUCAACAGCAGCCACUGGUGGACGAAUUCAGACAUUCAUUCAUAAAAAAUUAUGACUACAUAGUCUCGUGAUUACAUCUAGAAGUAUGGAAAUCUACACUGUGAUGAGGCAUAGAUGAAUCAGUUGUCUGCUUUAUAACUAUUUCAGACAUAACACAUGAAGCAAUUAUGCACAUACGCAUUUCCUGAAGAUAUUGGCUAUACAUGUCUUGGAAAUACACCGGCACAUAUAUGGACACAUUCUGGCUCCAGCUGGAAAAACAGAGUCUCCAUACAGUCAGCAGCACAUCCUUUGCUAUAAAAGUCAUAAAGGCAGAACAGGGCAGAACAAUCUCCACCGGGAAUCCAAACUCAUACUAAUUUAAUGGUUGACUACUUUUGGUCUAAAGGUGGAGGCAGAUCAAAGUGUUUUUUUCUGGGGCAAGAACACUGUGCUAUGCUUUAUGAGGGACACAGAGACCAACACAACCAUAUAAUGUAAGCCAUUGUGACCAGAGCUGGAGGUAUCUGGUCUUUGAGUAAUGCAUGAGCAAGUAAAAGUAGGAGGAACAAGGACGUCAAAGCGGUACCAGAGGCAGGAGUGGGAUUGCAACACUGUUAAGUAAUACCUUUCAAGCUUUCCAUGAUUGCCUAAAAUAAAACCCGGGUGUCCAGUCUGGGCUCCAGGAAAUGUCCACCGACAGGAAAUGACGAAUAAAUGGUCACUGUAACCAAAAACUCUUGUCUAAACAUUAAAACGUAAGAAGGCAGCCUGGUGAUGUGGACUAGAGCUCUCUCUGGGUUUGAAAAAGAUGAAAAACUGCAGGGACCCGGACAGUGAGAGAUGCCAUGCUCUGCCAGCUAAAGGAUAUCUGAGAUGACUGAAUGGGGAAGAACAGAAGACAAUGAUCCGCUUUCCCACACGGAUGCAACAGCACAGACGUACACAAAGCCAAUCUAGCCUGAACUGACCUAAAGGGGAGUAUGACUCAUUGGACCAGUGCCUGAGUUCCAGUGCUCCAACCAUAAUAACUACACCUGCUUUAAACGAGAAGCCUGACUGUCACCCAGAGCCGCUCUGAUUUCAUGUCACCAGCCUGCCCCUGUGAUCCGUCCUUGUGUAUGAUGAGCUGGACUUGCAGUUGAUACUUUGUUGCUGUGUAGCUUGUUUCUUGGUUGUCGUGUGAGACACUCGCCACACCCUGGAGACUGGGCCAGGUGUUAGCUUCCACAUGUCACACCACCCCAACUGAUCACAGAUCAGGAGUUGCUCUACGUGGAUGAUUUUGGUAGGUUAGUGCAGCACAUGAUUUAAUUUUAUUCACGUAAUCCUAAUAAAAGACUGAGUCAUG
Molecule: long non-coding RNA, 4855 nt
Organism: Oreochromis niloticus (Nile tilapia)
Lineage: Eukaryota; Metazoa; Chordata; Actinopteri; Cichliformes; Cichlidae
Exons: 3
Source: RefSeq, a predicted model, not a curated record